Molecule: ribosomal RNA, 256 nt
Filed under: uncultured bacterium
Lineage: Bacteria
Description: partial 16S ribosomal RNA
Rfam family: Bacterial small subunit ribosomal RNA
Source: RNAcentral
UAAGACAGAGGGUGCAAACGUUGUUCGGAAUUACUGGGCGUAAAGCGUGUGUAGGCGGCCACGUAAGUCGGAUGUGAAAGCCCCGGGCUCAACCCGGGAAGUGCACUCGAUACUGCGUGGCUUGAGUACUGGAGAGGUUGGUGGAAUUCUCGGUGUAGAGGUGAAAUUCGUAGAUAUCGAGAGGAACACCGGUGGCGAAGGCGGCCAACUGGACAGAUACUGACGCUGAGACACGAAAGCGUGGGGAGCAAACAGG